UUGCCCUAGUAACGGCGAGUGAAGCGGCAACAGCUCAAAUUUGAAAUCUGGCCUUCGGGUCCGAAUUGUAAUUUGUAGAGGAUGCUUUGGGUGCGGUACCUUCCGAGUUCCCUGGAACGGGACGCCGGAGAGGGUGAGAGCCCCGUACGGUUGGAUACCAAGCCUAUGUAUAGCUCCUUCGACGAGUCGAGUAGUUUGGGAAUGCUGCUCUAAAUGGGAGGUAAAUUUCUUCUAAAGCUAAAUACCGGCCAGAGACCGAUAGCGCACAAGUAGAGUGAUCGAAAGAUGAAAAGCACUUUGAAAAGAGGGUUAAAUAGCACGUGAAAUUGUUGAAAGGGAAGCGUUUGCGACCAGACCUUUUCCAGGCGGAUCAUCCGGUGUUCUCACCGGUGCACUUCGCCUGGUUUAGGCCAGCAUCGGUUUUCUUAGGGGGAUAAAGGUUUAGGGCACGUAGCUCCUUCGGGAGUGUUAUAGCCCUCUACGUAAUACCCUUCGGGGGACCGAGGACCGCGCAUUGCAAGGAUGCUGGCGUAAUGGUCGUCAACGACCCGUCUUGAAACACGGACCAAGGAGUCGAACAUUUGUGCGAGUGUUUGGGUGUUAAACCCUCACGCGUAAUGAAAGUGAACGGAGGUGAGAGCCCUUCGGGGUGCAUCAUCGACCGAUCCUGAUGUCUUCGGAUGGAUUUGAGUAAGAGCAUAACUGUUCGGACCCGAAAGAUGGUGAACUAUGCGUGGAUAGGGUGAAGCCAGAGGAAACUCUGGUGGAGGCUCGCAGCGGUUCUGACGUGCAAAUCGAUCGUCAAAUCUGCGCAUGGGGGCGAAAGACUAUCG
RNAcentral lists this ribosomal RNA (833 nucleotides) under Hypomontagnella monticulosa. Its description in RNAcentral is "partial large subunit ribosomal RNA". It matches the Rfam family "Eukaryotic large subunit ribosomal RNA", at positions 75 to 937 of the family's 3401-position model. Lineage: Eukaryota; Fungi; Ascomycota; Sordariomycetes; Xylariales; Hypoxylaceae. The record is from RNAcentral.